UGAUAAAGAAAGAACGAGUGAACGAUCAGACGCGUUACUGUGAAAGUGGCGCGCGCGUCUUUAGCGGGUCAAACCGCUUUCCGGCGACACGUCCUCCUCCAGACAAACUACAGCUCCUCACGGGGGUUUAGAUGCAUUAACAUGCUGUAUCCAUCACUAUUUUAUGCGGUCAAUUCAUUUAAUUUCCAUGAAAUCGCUCUACCUUCUAGGGAGAAGUCAUCUUCUUGCUAGCAGGAAGAGCCUCGUUCAGAGACAAACCUCUUCCGGGUCAACCUCAAAUUCAAAAGGUUGACGGGAAUAUUCCAUUUAAAUACUUAUCUAAAACACAUAUGCAUACUGUUUUAAAUUAAAUGUUUGUUUUUUUUUCAUUCUUUUUUUUUAUUUCAACUGUUUUUCAUUGGGAAAAAAGUACAUCGAGAAGUAAAACGGAAGUAGUUCAACAGGUCUUGUAUGGCAAGCGUUAAGGGCCAAAACUCGCUAGAAAAUACACCGUAAAGAGCGAAGAUCUGACCGAGGUUCCGCACAGACCAGACUUGCCGGUACAUGUCCUCUCUGGAGGGUCCCGUCCCACCAGGGGGAGGCUGGGCGGGAUUUGAAGAGGCUGACCUGAGCGGCCUGGCUUCAGCUCCACGGUUGGAUCCUCGUCAUGGAUGGACGAGACCUGCAGGCUGGAUGUGAGAGGACCCUGCAGAGGUUACCGGUCUGGAUCAUAGAGCAUGUGUGGACUCACAAGAUCAUGGAUGUCCGAGAAGUUGUCGACUCGUCCAGCUGGCCGGAUGUGGAUUCUCAGCCUCUCAGCCUGGAGGACUCGUGGAGGCUGCGUGUCACCGCCGCACGCGUCUACUCCAUCAUGAAGAGCAGAGACCUGCAGAACUUUGAGAAAGUCUUGGGCUUCCUGGAAACCACUCGCAGGCUUUUACCCCGACUGGUGCCGGCCAUCAAACACAUGAAGAUCAUGUUUGGCGUGAAAACCAUGAUCAUUAUGUGGAUGCUGAAGGAACACAAAGGAAUAGUUGAAACUGUGACUCAAAUACUGCGGUUCUUCCCACACAAACUCCCUCAGUACCAAGAUCAGUGUAGUCCACGAGAAAUGUUCAUCAUGAGGAAGAAUCACGUGGACUUUAGGAAUCUGGCUCAAGCUCUCGCUAUAGACCAGGAGCGUCUGGAGGAUUACAUCAAGCUUCAACACUUCCAGAUGGUUGAUCUUCUGGUUCACAUCACCAACUCUAAACUGAUGUGUUUAUAAAGCCUCACAUCGCGUGGGUUCCAGCUAAAUUCAACCAGCUAAAGGAGACGUCAUUUGUCGUGAGGUUCACAUACAUUUUCCAUCCUACACUUUGAAUAUUUACAUGUUUUGUUCAAUAAAACAUGAAAACUUUUAUUUUUGUGUUUUAUUAUUUAAGAAGACUUUGUUUAUCAUGUGAAGAUAUUUUAUGACACAUUCAUGCAGAAAUCCCACAGGGUUCACAUACGGUUCUCUCCUCUGCUGUAUAUUUGUGUCCAGCAGAGGGCACUACUGCUUCACUUCACUUUUACUGUCAUUUCACCCCAUGUUACCCCUUCAUGCAGUUUUAUAACCCCACACAACUAUUCAGAAAGCCUCAAACAUCCACAUAUAUGCUUGGCAUCAUAAAAAUCUUGGUUUUUUUUCAUUGCUGAACACGACCAACAACUUUAGAGGGAAAAUGAAGCCGCAGCACAGAAUGUUUAUGGAGCUUCAGUUCAUGUCAUAAACUCAGCCAAAUAUCAUCUGAAAACCUCUCAUGAUGUCGGAGCAGCACCCACAGGAACUCCUUCACUACGAGGGAAAUCCAUCAGGAUCUGCAGCGGAUCCAGAACUCUGCUGCUCGGGUUCUCACAGGGACCAGGAGAGGAGAACACAUCGGUCCAGUUCUGGGGUUAGGGUUACCCGUCUGGUUACCUGUCUGGUUACCUGUCUGGUUACCCGUCUGGUUACCUGCCUGGUUAACCGUCUGGUUACCUGCCAAGUUACCUGCCAGGUUACCACUCUGGUUACCUGUCUGGUUACCUGCCUGGUUACCCGUCUGGCACCUGUCUGGUUACCCGCCUUACCCGUCUGAUUAGGGUAAGGCGGGUAAUUAGCACCUGCCAGGUACUUAAGGCAGAGGAGGAGUUACCAAGGUGGGCAGAGCAGCAUGCUGGGUAGCAUUAUGGGUUUAGUUUGAACUGGUCUGGUCUGUUUGUUUUUCCUCCUCAGCAGUCUUCCACUGCUGGGUUUUGUUAUUUUAGUUUGAGGUUGGACUUUGGUAGUCUUGAUUUUCAGGCUUUGUUUGUUUGUUGCUCAGGCAGCCAUUAGCAGGGAGCUGCUGAGUCUCCAUGACUUAUUUCAUGUUUGUUCUUUCACAGGAUUUAUUCAAUAAACAGAGUUUCUCUUCUUCUCAUUGGUGUCCAGUUUUUAACCCCCCCUUUUGUAUAUUCUCUCUCUAGACCCGAGCCAGGUUUAGGGGACAUAGCACCCAGUUUGUACCAGCCAGACCUCUCUGCUCAUCUGGAUCCUGGAGUCAGAACUAAACAUGGAGAAGCUGCAUUCAGCUUCUAUGCUCCACAGAUCUGGAACCUUAGAUCAGCUCAAACACUCACCUGUUCUCAGCUGCAUUGGAUUCAAACGUUUAAAUGAACGUCCUUUCCUGAAGCGACCGUGUCGCCGUUUCAUUGUUUCCUCCUGAAACAUGACGGCUGUCGAACGAGCAGACGUGGUUCCACUUCACUGACGUUUCUGUCAUCUG
Molecule: long non-coding RNA, 2747 nt
Organism: Oryzias javanicus (javanese ricefish)
Lineage: Eukaryota; Metazoa; Chordata; Actinopteri; Beloniformes; Adrianichthyidae
Source: Ensembl